Long non-coding RNA from Mauremys mutica (yellowpond turtle), 1422 nucleotides. RefSeq lists it as uncharacterized. The record is from RefSeq and is a predicted model, not a curated record. Lineage: Eukaryota; Metazoa; Chordata; Testudines; Geoemydidae. The transcript has 4 exons.
GCUUUCUGCCUUCUGAACAACUGGCUUACCAAGGAAAAAUAAGUCACAUGUCAGAGUCUACUGCCCUCAUGCAAUGGAAAGUGAGUGAGAGCAGCAAGUCUGUGAGCAUUGUUCAUGCCAGGCAAGAGCCGUUCAUUUGGGAGCCAAGCAGAUGCCACUGUCAGUGAGAAGUGUCUGUUUUGCUGAGGGUUCUGUGAACAGCCCAUCUGACUCCAGGAGAAGGUUGGAUCGAGGAGGAUGACUCCAGAUGUUUGCAGAGGAAUUGUCCAGGAGCCCUCGCCGGAGGAGAAUAUGUAGAAGUGGAUCUGAGAAGCCUGGACAUCCGUCUAAGGAGACAUGAAUAGUCCUCGGAUUUCUGCAUAACAGGCUGUUCCUCAUCUGUACUUGCUGUAGUUUUCUUCAUAGGCCGUGUGCUUCCUCCUUGGGUACGGGGCUCUGUGGCUGCGGAGGGGCCAGAAUCUGCUCUGCAGAGUGACUAUGUUGGGUGCCAUUAAGAGGGCCAAUGCAGAGAGGAGAAAAGGGGCCUGAACCCUGAUUACAGGGUGGUCACCCUUUCUUUAGUAAAAUAUUCCUCCUUUAAACUCGCUGUGUGCAGGGGGCGGGAAGUCCCCAAUGUGAAAAGAUCUGGAAAUGAACAGGUAAGGGAGGGAUCCUCCUGAGUGUCUCCUUUCCGAUCAAUCCUCCAUCUCUCAGCGACACUCUUCCGGACUUACCUUCCUAUCUCACCAAGAAAAUAACUUGGUGCUCCCUAACCUUUACCAGAAAAGACCCCUCGUCCUUGUGACGCAGUCCUGUUAGUAGGGUUAGGUGCACCCACGUGCUGGCUCUGAAUACCACCGCAUGUGAUUACAACACCUGAACAUCAACACAUUUCAGAAAGGACCGCCACAUCCCUUCGGACGUAGCCCUAGGAAUCUCCUCUGUCUAUCUCCAAAGAGACACAAGGCCUGGAAUUUGGACACAGCUGAGGGAGCUGUCCGAAUGUCUACAGUUGAACACUCAUCAGUGCGAUGGUGUCUUUCUUGUGCACAAGAAAACAAAGGGUCAAAGUUGUGGUUGGUUGAGCGGUGUAAAUUGGGCAGGGCAAAAGGACUUGAGGAAGGAUGAGGUGGAAGUGAGGGUCUGAAAGAAGCCCCCCACCUCACCUGUUCAUUUCCAGACGGUGUGACAUUUGCAUGGUUGGGCCAUUUCUUGGCUUUUUUGAGAAAAGGGGCAAAUUUUCCCACGGCUUGCACCAUCCUCCACAGCUGCCCCUUCGCCACACUAUGUUGCAUCUGACCUGGAUAGGUCGCAAGUAAGAUUUCACUUCAAAUCUCAAAGUCCAGUAGAAAUAAUUGUGGGGGAAUUUCCUGUCACUAAGAGAAACGGAAGCUCAAGCCUUCUCAAGGGGUGGGGUGUCGCUCAGCCACAGGCACAAAAAGG